AAUAUCUCAAUUAGCCACCGAAUCAAAUCUAAUAAUAGAAUAAAUAAAUAAAAGCCACCGAUAUUAAGCGCAACAGAUGAAUUCAUGUCCUCUUCUUUUGUAUAUUCUCUCCAAAGCUUUCAACUCUAUUUUGGGGUCAUUUUCUUAAUUUUUUUUAAUUAAACUAUAUAGAAACUGGGGAGAUGUUUUCAGAUAUUUAUUAAUUUUUAUCCUUCACCUUUAAUUUCUUAAGUUUGACAUCAGUUAUUAAGCGCAACGGAUGAAUUCAUCUCCUCUUCUUUUGUAUAUUCUCUCCAAAGCUUUCAACUCUAUUUUGGGGUCUUUUUCUUAAUUUUUUAAAAUUAAACUAUAUAGAAACUGGGGAGAUGUUUUCAGAUAUUUAUUAAUUUUUAUCCUUCACCUUUAAUUUCUUAAGUUUGACAUCAGUUAUUGUUGGCCUCACUCUCACAUGGUUGGUUUGAAGCUUUUCUAUCAUGUAGUUCGGUGAAAAUUAUUUUAUUAAUCGUGACUUGCAGGUAAGAAUUAUUAUUAUUAUUUUGUGUUAUGUUUUUAAUUUAUUAGAUUUUAAUUCACAAUUUAUUUGAUAACAAGUGAAAGAGAUGUUAAUUAGGAUAGAUUCAUUUUCUUGUUUAGUAUAUAGGAUUUUCUACUUUAAUUUAAUUGUAUCUUAAUUUUUUUUUUUAUUGUUAUCAAGGGAAUUAAGAGCCUAGGAAGAAAAAUUAUGAUAUUCAACUUUCUUAAGGAUUCAGUUGCUCAAUCCACAUUGAUUCUAUCUUUUAUCAACAGCAAAAUAUCAUUGCAAGAGUGCCAUGUAGCCUUUGGUGUAUUUUAUUUAAUUUAAAUAUUUGUCAUGGAUUCAAUGAUUAAUACGUAUUUAUUUUAUCUUUUAGUAACAUUAAGUUAUUGUAAUAGCAUCAUGUAGCUUUAAGUCAUUGUAAUGGUGUCGUGUAGCACUUGUACUUUGUUUGAGUUGCACAUGUAUUUGUUGAAAUUAUUUAGCACUUUGCCAUUUCAUUGGCCUUUUGCCAUUUCUCAUAAAGCCUCCUCUGAUUUCUAUGAGCAUCAUCCGUUGGAACUGGAGGGCAUGGCUGGGUUAAGACAUAUUUAUAAUUUUCAGCAGUCAGGACAAUGAAUAGAUUUCUUUUCCAAUUUAUAUAGUUCUCUCCAGUGAGUUUGUUUUGACUCAGAAUAAUAGUAAGUGGGCUCAUGGAAGACAUUUUCUGAAAAAUAAAACAUCCAUGCAUAAAUAAUUUGAAAUAAUAUUCACAAUAAAUGAAAAAAAUGCAAAAAACCAUAAAUGCAUUUUAAUUUAUUGUAACGAUAAUCUAGUACCGCUUUGACAAGCUAUCCGUUGGGGAAGUCAUGUCUACACUUACUAGACCCAAUUAUCCAUUGGAUUAUUUACUUUCAUGUAAAGACAUGAUAAAUAAAUGUCGUUAUCCUUUUGGACCUAAAUUUGUUAACAGAGCUUCGUUGGGAAGGUUAAUAACAAAUUUUAGUUGAGUGUAUAACCAUUGUUUCAAUCUAGAUAUUUUUCAUAUCAUUAGUCACCGUUGGGGUGAACAAUCGAUUAAAAAAUAUUUCAAUUUUAUCUUUGAAGAAGUUCAUUAAAUAAAAUAUCUAAUAUAUAUACCCUCCGAAGGGAGCAUCACCGUAUCAUGAAGUCGAGGUAUAUAUAUAAUUUUAUUAUUGAACUAACAAUGGAGCCCGUGGGAAAAAUUAUCUUGAAUUUUCCCUCUCCCGCUCAAUAUUUUAAAAUUGGUUUUUCCUUUUUAAAACAUACAUAUUGUUAAUUGCAUGCUUACUAUAAUAUUUUCUAGAUGAUAUCAAAUAUUAUUAAGCACGUGCAAAUUUCAAACAAUAUAAUGAGAUUCAUUAUUAAUGAAUUACAUGUAUCAUUAUGCAUAGAGUGGCACUACCUAUCUAUAUGACAUGUUAUCAUGGCAUGUAAUCAUCCAAAACAUAACAUAUAGAAAAACAAUUAAAUAAUCUUAAUUCAUGGCUUUCCUAAUAAUGAAAAAUACAUUAACCCUAAGCCUAAUCUUCAUUGAGCUUCUUGUCAAUGUCCAUCUUCCAUAAAUUUGUCUUUGUUAAUGGACUAGGGAAAAUUGGGCUUUAAAAUUUAUAAUUGGUCCAAUUUUAAUUUUUAAAAGAAAUAAAUAAAUAAUUAAAAAAAAUUAUUAAAAUAAAACUUUUGGAGCAAAAAUAAAUUUAAUGUGUUCAAUUUUAUCUAUGUAUUUUAAUCCAUUAAGCCCAAUUGAAAUUGGGCCUAAAACUAGGAUUUACUUAAACCCAAAACUGUUUUUGGAUUUAAACGCAAAAAUUAAAAAUAUUUCUGCCCAAAAAGAAAAACUAUGGAGCCAUAGGGACCUCAAUGAUAGAAACCAUUGAAACCCUAAAUCCAUCUUUUCCUCUUUCCUUUCUUCCCCAGCCGCCACCAGCAGACUGUUCAGAGACGCCGACCAUCUCCGACGCCGAAACACUCGCCGCCACGUCGCCGGAAACGCACCAAACUCGCGCGGGCAGCAAGCUGCGCGUGCAGCGCGCGCUGCUGGCCAUUGCUCGCCGCAAGCGCUGCUUUGCAGCGCGCAGCACAGCUGAUGGCUGGCAGCGUGCGCUGCUGGCAGCGUGUGCUGCGAGCCGCGCGCUUGCUGGCAGCAUGUGCUGCUGGCCGAGCGCUGCUUGCUGCUGGUUGCCGCUGUCAAAAAUUCCGGCCUCCGUCACUCCGAUCUUGAAAAUCCGAGAUUAAUUUACAAAUAUCCUAGGCCAAUAUUGGCUUACAAAAAUUCUAUAAUAGUAAAAUAAAUCAAGAGAGAAAUAUAGUGAUAAAAAAUUACCCCUCUUGUUACAGAUCCAAGCGAAAAAUACAACAGAAAAUCUAACAAUAAAUUAAGACAAACCAUAACAUGAUUUAUUCAUAUAUUAAUAAAUAAUAUAUAUCUGAAUAAAAUGUGUCACUUUAAUACAUAAAUUUCAAGAUUAAUUUCAUACGAAAUUCUUAUAUAUUAAUAUGAGAUGGCUCUGAUACCAAUUGUUGGGGAAAAAUCAGGUUUUUAAAUUUUUUAUAAAACCUUUUGAAGAUCGCUAUCAUAUAAUAUAUAAGAAUUUGUAUUCUAGAAAUCGUACCUUGAAAAUCUGAUUUGGCUUUUUCCGUUGAAGUGAUUUAGGCUCCUAGAUCACGAUCCGCCACCACCACUCCUGUUAGAUCACGAUCCUGCACCACCACGCUUGUUAGAUCACGAACUGUCACCAAUGAUCUUCCAGGUUAUGACUUAGGUUCGAUCUGCACUUAACGUGUGGGCGCCUUUAUCACUACCAAAGCAACUAGCACGAGAAAAUUUUUCUCUCAACAAUAGAGAGAAAAAUCUUUUUCUCUGAUUUGUAUAAAGUGGCUUCUGUCUUUUUCUUUAGAGAAAAUAAGCCUUAUAUAUCUCCCUUUAGUGAAAACCCUAGGCUCCAAAUAAUGCCCUAAAUAAAACUCACGUUACUUUUCAUUUAAUAGGGGACCCACUAUGUAAAAUAACAUAAGGCCCCUUACACAUAAGCUAAUUAAAUGGAGCCUCCCACUAAAUGAUAUAUUUAGGCUUUUGACCCAAAUAGCUAGUUAUCUUGCUUAUUAGUCCAGUAGUGGUGCAGUCAAUUAAAUGAGCUAACCCGGGGAUCAUUUGGGAACAUACAAUAGUGGCUACAAUAAUUAGACAUGUAAUUAAACUAGCCCAAUUAUUUAAUUCCAAAUCUACUCCACUAAAAGAUUGGAACUGACUUCCAUAAUUGUAUGCUCGAAUAAUAAUUCGUCUCAAGCCACAUUGAUUUCUUUACUGCACAAUCCUUUGUACCACAUCGUUAAUUAAAUUGAUAUCUCAACUGUCCAAUCAAUUUAAUAACAUCUUAUUCCUUGAUCCUUACUGGUUUUCUCUAAUGAUCAUUUUCAACAUACUAAAUAUGUUGACACACUCUGGCCAGAGAAUUCUAUGAUCAAGUGCCGAAAACCCAUCAAGAGAUGUGUUGUACAAAUUCUAUAUUGUUAAUCUAUAACUCCAAUACUCAUAAAUGCUCCCACUAAGAUACCGGGUAAUCUUGACCACAAGUAUGUGUCAUGCCCAUUGGUAACUCAAAUGGAAUAACAAUUACAAUCAUGAAAUCAUAAUUAACUCAAGAUUAAGAUUACAGUAAAAUCAAUGCCUAUGAGAUUUAAUAAGUCUGACAGUUAUUACAAAGUUAAUUAAAUCUCAUAUUUGAUCCUGUUCAAUGUAGUCGUACUACAUCAAUAAAUUCAUACAUGAUUAAGACAAAUCAUUCAAUGAAUUUAUUACAGUCUAUACCUAAAUAAAGUGCCCAACUUUAUUUAUCAACUGCGAACUAAAUUUAUUUAAUCAUAAGAUAACUUGUAUUUAUGUCUUCUGUGAAUCCACAUGGUGAUCACAUAAAUACAUAUAAUAUGAUUAAAUGGACUUUAAUAUAAAUAUUAAUGCAAUUAAGAUAUUUGAAUAAAAUACCUCAUUUAUUUUAUUAAUCAGAAAAAUUGUUUAUUACAAUUAAAUAAACACAUAUACUUUUAAAGAGUAUAUUUUCCCAACAAUGCAAAUCCACCAGGUGUUGAGUUUCUACCAUCAUUCACUCUUGAGCUUGAUGUUGUUUCCAAGUUCUUGCAACGCUUCUGCUUGGCACAGAGAAGUAAAUUUUGUAAGUAAGUACACUCAAUCAAAUACUUCAUACUUAACAUCGAUUGCAUAUAUUAAAAAAAAAUUAGAUGAUUAGUAAUUAACAUUUAAUUAUAGUUGAAAUAUUGUUUAUUAAAUUAGUCUAAUUGUCUAAGAACGGUCAUACAAUUAAUUUCAACAUAUAAAAAAACUAUUGCAAUAAUUUAUUUAUAUUUUGAAACAUAGCUCAACUAUGAAUUAUUAAAACUAAUAUAGCUUCACAGUUUUUGCAUCAAUAUCUCUUUUCAUCUUUCGCUUAUCUUACCAAUUUAAAUUUAAAAUCUAUGUUAAAGAUGUUCUGUCAAUCAAUUUAGGCUAGAGAUUAAUUAAACAAUCUAGUAAGCACAUAAUAGGUAUUAUUAUUAAUUGUUCAAUUAUAAUAAACUUUCAAAUUGCAUUAAUGUGAUAAGAAGUUAUGUUUUGCAAUUAAUCGAAUCAUAUGCUAAUAAUUUGCAAUAUUUAUCAGUAUGAAAUAACUAACUUAGAAUAAAUUAAUUAAUUGAUUGCUUUUUUCUUAAAUUUGAAUAUCUUGUAUUAUCUCUAGUAACUGUUUGGUCCACUUAAUUACUAUAAUCCCACCUAACUAAAGUUUUUUGUGCAAAUGUAUAUUUACCGUAACCCACGUUCUCCAUUCUCUCUAACAAAUCUCUCAAUUAGCCACCGAAUCAUAUCCAUUAACAGAAUAAAAAUAAAAGCCACCGAUAUUAAGCACAAUGGAUGAAUUCAUCUCUACUUCUUUUGUAUAUUCUCUCUAAAGCUUCAAACUCUAUUUUAGGGUUAUUUUCUUAAUUCUUUUGAAUAAAGCUAUAUAGAAUCUGGGGAGAUUUUUUCAAAUAUUUAUUACCUUUUGUCCUUCACCUUUAAUUUCUUAAGUUUGACAUCAGUUUUGUUGGCCUCACCCU
RNAcentral lists this long non-coding RNA (5602 nucleotides) under Citrus x clementina. RNAcentral's name for it is "Citrus clementina (C. clementina) long non-coding RNA (CCLE_LNC004793)". The record is from RNAcentral. Lineage: Eukaryota; Viridiplantae; Streptophyta; Magnoliopsida; Sapindales; Rutaceae.